GGUUAAGCGACUAAGCGUACACGGUGGAUGCCCUGGCAGUCAGAGGCGAUGAAGGACGUGCUAAUCUGCGAUAAGCGUCGGUAAGGUGAUAUGAACCGUUAUAACCGGCGAUUUCCGAAUGGGGAAACCCAGUGUGUUUCGACACACUAUCAUUAACUGAAUCCAUAGGUUAAUGAGGCGAACCGGGGAACUGAAACAUCUAAGUACCCCGAGGAAAAGAAAUCAACCGAGAUUCCCCAGUAGCGGCGAGCGAACGGGGAGGAGCCCAGAGCCUGAAUCAGUGUGUGUGUUAGUGGAAGCGUCUGGAAAGGCGUGCGAUACAGGGUGACAGCCCCGUACACAAAAAUGCACAUAUUGUGAGCUCGAUGAGUAGGGCGGGACACGUGGUAUCCUGUCUGAAUAUGGGGACCAUCCUCCAAGGCUAAAUACUCCUGACUGACCGAUAGUGAACCAGUACCGUGAGGGAAAGGCGAAAAGAACCCCGGCGAGGGGAGUGAAAAAGAACCUGAAACCGUGUACGUACAAGCAGUGGGAGCCUCUUAAUGGGGUGACUGCGUACCUUUUGUAUAAUGGGUCAGCGACUUAUAUUCUGUAGCAAGGUUAACCGAAUAGGGGAGCCGAAGGGAAACCGAGUCUUAACUGGGCGUUAAGUUGCAGGGUAUAGACCCGAAACCCGGUGAUCUAGCCAUGGGCAGGUUGAAGGUUGGGUAACACUAACUGGAGGACCGAACCGACUAAUGUUGAAAAAUUAGCGGAUGACUUGUGGCUGGGGUGAAAGGCCAAUCAAACCGGGAGAUAGCUGGUUCUCCCCGAAAGCUAUUUAGGUAGCGCCUCGUGAAUUCAUCUCCGGGGUAGAGCACUGUUUCGGCAAGGGGUCAUCCCGACUUACCAACCCGAUGCAAACUGCGAAUACCGGAGAAUGUUAUCACGGGAGACACACGGCGGGUGCUAACGUCCGUCGUGAAGAGGGAAACAACCCAGACCGCCAGCUAAGGUCCCAAAGUCAUGGUUAAGUGGGAAACGAUGUGGGAAGGCCCAGACAGCCAGGAUGUUGGCUUAGAAGCAGCCAUCAUUUAAAGAAAGCGUAAUAGCUCACUGGUCGAGUCGGCCUGCGCGGAAGAUGUAACGGGGCUAAACCAUGCACCGAAGCUGCGGCAGCGACACUAUGUGUUGUUGGGUAGGGAGCGUUCUGUAAGCCUGUGAAGGUGUGCUGUGAGGCAUGCUGGAGGUAUCAGAAGUGCGAAUGCUGACAUAAGUAACGAUAAAGCGGGUGAAAAGCCCGCUCGCCGGAAGACCAAGGGUUCCUGUCCAACGUUAAUCGGGGCAGGGUGAGUCGACCCCAAGGCGAGGCCGAAAGGCGUAGUCGAUGGGAAACAGGUUAAUAUUCCUGUACUUGGUGUUACUGCGAAGGGGGACGGAGAAGGCUAUGUUGGCCGGGCGACGGUUGUCCCGGUUUAAGCGUGUAGGCUGGUUUUCCAGGCAAAUCCGGAAAAUCAAGGCUGAGGCGUGAUGACGAGGCACUACGGUGCUGAAGCGACAAAUGCCCUGCUUCCAGGAAAAGCCUCUAAGCAUCAGGUAACAUCAAAUCGUACCCCAAACCGACACAGGUGGUCAGGUAGAGAAUACCAAGGCGCUUGAGAGAACUCGGGUGAAGGAACUAGGCAAAAUGGUGCCGUAACUUCGGGAGAAGGCACGCUGAUAUGUAGGUGAAGCGACUUGCUCGUGGAGCUGAAAUCAGUCGAAGAUACCAGCUGGCUGCAACUGUUUAUUAAAAACACAGCACUGUGCAAACACGAAAGUGGACGUAUACGGUGUGACGCCUGCCCGGUGCCGGAAGGUUAAUUGAUGGGGUUAGCGGUAACGCGAAGCUCUUGAUCGAAGCCCCGGUAAACGGCGUACGUAACUAUAACGGUCCUAAGGUAGCGAAAUUCCUUGUCGGGUAAGUUCCGACCUGCACGAAUGGCGUAAUGAUGGCCAGGCUGUCUCCACCCGAGACUCAGUGAAAUUGAACUCGCUGUGAAGAUGCAGUGUACCCGCGGCAAGACGGAAAGACCCCGUGAACCUUUACUAUAGCUUGACACUGAACAUUGAGCCUUGAUGUGUAGGAUAGGUGGGAGGCUUUGAAGUGUGGACGCCAGUCUGCAUGGAGCCGACCUUGAAAUACCACCCUUUAAUGUUUGAUGUUCUAACGUUGGCCCGUAAUCCGGGUUGCGGACAGUGUCUGGUGGGUAGUUUGACUGGGGCGGUCUCCUCCUAAAGAGUAACGGAGGAGCACGAAGGUUGGCUAAUCCUGGUCGGACAUCAGGAGGUUAGUGCAAUGGCAUAAGCCAGCUUGACUGCGAGCGUGACGGCGCGAGCAGGUGCGAAAGCAGGUCAUAGUGAUCCGGUGGUUCUGAAUGGAAGGGCCAUCGCUCAACGGAUAAAAGGUACUCCGGGGAUAACAGGCUGAUACCGCCCAAGAGUUCAUAUCGACGGCGGUGUUUGGCACCUCGAUGUCGGCUCAUCACAUCCUGGGGCUGAAGUAGGUCCCAAGGGUAUGGCUGUUCGCCAUUUAAAGUGGUACGCGAGCUGGGUUUAGAACGUCGUGAGACAGUUCGGUCCCUAUCUGCCGUGGGCGCUGGAGAACUGAGGGGGCUGCUCCUAGUACGAGAGGACCGGAGUGGACGCAUCACUGGUGUUCGGGUUGUCAUGCCAAUGGCACUGCCCGGUAGCUAAAUGCGGAAGAGAUAAGUGCUGAAAGCAUCUAAGCACGAAACUUGCCCCGAGAUGAGUUCUCCUGAGACUUAGAGUCUCCUGAAGGAACGUUGAAGACGACGACGUUGAUAGGCCGGGUGUGUAAGCGCAGCGAUGCGUUGAGCUAACCGGUACUAAUGAACCGUGAGGCUUAACCUU
RNAcentral lists this ribosomal RNA (2892 nucleotides) under Escherichia coli. Its description in RNAcentral is "23S ribosomal RNA". It matches the Rfam family "Bacterial large subunit ribosomal RNA". Lineage: Bacteria; Pseudomonadati; Pseudomonadota; Gammaproteobacteria; Enterobacterales; Enterobacteriaceae. The record is from RNAcentral.